GGGGAUGUAGCUCAGUGGUAGAGUGCUUGCCUGGCAUGUAGGAGGCCCUUGCUUCCAUCCCCA
Molecule: non-coding RNA, 63 nt
Organism: Ictidomys tridecemlineatus (thirteen-lined ground squirrel)
Lineage: Eukaryota; Metazoa; Chordata; Mammalia; Rodentia; Sciuridae
Source: Rfam